AAGUAGUACUGAAGUCAUAGUAAAGCCAUAGUAAAGUUGAAGUCAGAGUAAGGUCAUAGUAGAGUAGUAGUAAAGUCGUAGUAAAUGUAUAGUAAGGUCAGUAGAGUCAUAGUAAGGUCAGAGUAAAGUCAGAGUAAGGUCAGAGUAAGGUUGUAGUAAAGUCGUAGUAAAGCCAUAAGGUUGUAGCAAGCUCAUAGUAACUUCAUAGUAAGGUUAUAGUAAGGCUGUAGUGAGGUCGUAGUAAGGUCAUAGUAAGGUCGUAGUAAGGUCAUAAUAAGGCCAUAAUGAGGUCAUAGUAAGGCUGUAGUAAGGUCAUAGUAAAGUUGGAGUAAAGCGGGAGUAAGGCGGGAGGCGCGCGAGGGGCUCCCGGGUCGUGGCUUGGCGCUGCUGGCUCUGCUGAGUAACCGUGGUGUAAAGCUGGAGUAUGUCCCCGUCCUGUGUGUAAAGCUGGAGUAAUUUACACCUCCCUCCCUCCCCUCCUCCUCCUCACCUCCGGGGGUGUUUCUGCAUGCUGGGAGUAAGGUUGGAGUAAAGCUGGAGUAAGGCUGGAGGACUCGGGGGGAGCUGAGUAACCCCGGAGUAACCCCGGAGUAAAGGGUGAGGAUGCCCCGAGUAGCUCUGGUGUGGCUGAGGGACACCCGGAGUAAGGCAGGAGUGAACCCUGAGUAACCCAGGAGUAAAGCCCGAGUAACGUAGGAGUAAAGCUCGAGUAAGUCAGGAGUAAACCUUGAGAAACCCCAGAGCAAACCAAGAGUAAACCCAGAGUAACCCCUGAGUAACUCAGGAGAGUAAACCCAGAGUAACCCAGGCAUAACCCAGGAGUAACCCAGGCAUAACCC
Molecule: long non-coding RNA, 839 nt
Organism: Poecile atricapillus (Black-capped chickadee)
Lineage: Eukaryota; Metazoa; Chordata; Aves; Passeriformes; Paridae
Exons: 3
Source: RefSeq, a predicted model, not a curated record